This is a long non-coding RNA of Lemur catta (Ring-tailed lemur), 1056 nucleotides long. RefSeq lists it as uncharacterized. Lineage: Eukaryota; Metazoa; Chordata; Mammalia; Primates; Lemuridae. The transcript has 2 exons. The record is from RefSeq and is a predicted model, not a curated record.
UGGGGUGGUCAUCCUGUUGACGCUGUCCCUGUGCCAUCGGUCCUGGCCAGCCUUGCCUUCCUCCCAUUACCAGCCCCUGAGUGUGAGUCCUUGUCGUCUCUUGCCUGGAGUGUCCCAACUAGGUGAGACUGUGAUGAAGCUGUGUCUUUGUCUAUUUUGUGGUGCUGUAGCAGAAUACCGGAGGCUGGGUGGAUUUAUAAAGAACAGAGAUUUAUUUCUCACAGUUCUGAAGUCUGGAAAGUCCAAGAUCAAGGGGUCAGCAUCUGUGCGGGACUUCUUGCUGCAUCAUGACACGGCAGAAGGCAGAAUGGCGAAGAGAAGGAGACGGAGAGCAAGCUGUGUAGUGAGCCCACUCCUACAGUAAUGACGUUCAUCCCUCCGUGCAGGUGGCACCUCCAUGACCCAGACACCUCCCUUUCGGCCCCACCUCUCUACACCACCACAUUAGGGCUCAAAUUUCCAACACAUGUACGUUGGGGGACACAUUCAAACCACAGCAGGCUGGGUCACGUGGUGUCCUGCAAUGUUUUAUUAUUAUAUGGUCAUCUCCCAACUGGUUGCCUAACCUCCAACCUUGUCUUUUUUUACAUUUCCACAAAAGGAUCUCGCCAAAACACAAACCUAAGAAUGCUCUAAGUUAACCUUCCAGCUUAAACACUUUCACUGUUGUGCACUGCUUCCAGAGUAGAGUCCACAUUUCUUGGCAUAGCAAGAAAGACGUUUUGAGACAUGGUCCCACCUACCCUCUACUGUGCUUUCUUGUCGAGGCUCUCCACCCUUGCCUUGGCUACCCCGUCUCUGCCACGCUCCAGCCCUGGCCCACACAAUGCUCACACUCCAGCAGGGAACUCUCAAACCAGUAGAAUGCUUCAUCCACAAUGACCUAGCUCCUCUCACCUCUCAGAUUCCUGUCUGGAAAAUCCUAGGCAUCCUUCAAAAUUCAGUUCAAGAAUGUCCUGUCUGGGAAGUCUUCCUAAGCCCCCAAAUGGAGCUAGUCUGUUCACCUCGCUGAUGCCACUUUCCAUAUCCAUUAAAUACCCGUAUGGUUGCAUUGUA